AGACAUAGCUCAGAUGGUUAGAGCGCACGACUGAUAAUCGUGAGGUCGAAAGUUCAAUUCUUUCUGUCU
Molecule: transfer RNA, 69 nt
Filed under: Flavonifractor plautii
Lineage: Bacteria; Bacillati; Bacillota; Clostridia; Eubacteriales; Oscillospiraceae
Rfam family: tRNA
About the family: Transfer RNA (tRNA) molecules are approximately 80 nucleotides in length. Their secondary structure includes four short double-helical elements and three loops (D, anti-codon, and T loops).
Source: RNAcentral